This 345-nucleotide long non-coding RNA is filed under the name Physcomitrium patens. RNAcentral describes it as "long non-coding RNA (PPAT_LNC009759)". The record is from RNAcentral. Lineage: Eukaryota; Viridiplantae; Streptophyta; Bryopsida; Funariales; Funariaceae.
UCCUUAAAACCUUCUAGAGAUAAAUUUCUAGAACCUUCUAGAAACAAGUCUCUGGAACCUUCUAGAAGCUUCCUAGUUGGUAGAAGUUGCUUGAGAAGCUUCUUAAAUAGAAGUAUAUAUUGGAAUCGAGGCUGAAGAGUUCUUCAAUCUCGACAACACAUUUCUUGGAGCUCUAGUUCACCUCUCUGGUGUUGUUCUCAUCUAAUUAAUCUAAUUCUUGCCAGUUCUUCUUGAACUUCUUGUUAGAUCUCGAGUCUGUAUUUCUGUGUCUGUGACAGUUUGUCGAGAUUGCACUCACCUCAGAUAUCAGAGCUAGUUUCUUCUUUGUUAGAGUGUGGAUUACCC